RNAcentral lists this ribosomal RNA (357 nucleotides) under Bacillus siamensis. Its description in RNAcentral is "bacterial SSU rRNA". It matches the Rfam family "Bacterial small subunit ribosomal RNA", at positions 698 to 1053 of the family's 1533-position model. The record is from RNAcentral. Lineage: Bacteria; Bacillati; Bacillota; Bacilli; Caryophanales; Bacillaceae.
GUGGAGGAACACCAGUGGCGAAGGCGACUCUCUGGUCUGUAACUGACGCUGAGGAGCGAAAGCGUGGGGAGCGAACAGGAUUAGAUACCCUGGUAGUCCACGCCGUAAACGAUGAGUGCUAAGUGUUAGGGGGUUUCCGCCCCUUAGUGCUGCAGCUAACGCAGUAAGCACUCCGCCUGGGGAGUACGGUCGCAAGACUGAAACUCAAAGGAAUUGACGGGGGCCCGCACAAGCGGUGGAGCAUGUGGUUUAAUUCGAAGCAACGCGAAGAACCUUACCAGGUCUUGACAUCCUCUGACAAUCCUAGAGAUAGGACGUCCCCUUCGGGGGCAGAGUGACAGGUGGUGCAUGGUUGUC